Molecule: ribosomal RNA, 422 nt
Filed under: uncultured bacterium
Lineage: Bacteria
Also listed under: 2 other names
Description: bacterial SSU rRNA
Rfam family: Bacterial small subunit ribosomal RNA
Source: RNAcentral
UGGGGAAUAUUGCACAAUGGGCGCAAGCCUGAUGCAGCGACGCCGCGUGCGGGAUGGAGGCCUUCGGGUUGUAAACCGCUUUUGUUCAAGGGCAAGGCACGGUCUUUGGCCGUGUUGAGUGGAUUGUUCGAAUAAGCACCGGCUAACUACGUGCCAGCAGCCGCGGUAAUACGUAGGGUGCAAGCGUUAUCCGGAUUUAUUGGGCGUAAAGGGCUCGUAGGCGGUUCGUCGCGUCCGGUGUGAAAGUCCAUCGCUUAACGGUGGAUCCGCGCCGGGUACGGGCGGGCUUGAGUGCGGUAGGGGAGACUGGAAUUCCCGGUGUAACGGUGGAAUGUGUAGAUAUCGGGAAGAACACCAAUGGCGAAGGCAGGUCUCUGGGCCGUUACUGACGCUGAGGAGCGAAAGCGUGGGGAGCGAACAGG